UGGGGAAUCUUGCGCAAUGGACGAAAGUCUGAACCAGCCAUGCCGCGUGGAGGAUGAAGGUCCUCUGGAUUGUAAACUUCUUUUAUCUGAGAAGAAACCCGGAAAUUCUUUUCCGGUUGACGGUACCAGAUGAAUAAGCACCGGCUAACUCCGUGCCAGCAGCCGCGGUAAUACGGAGGGUGCAAGCGUUAUCCGGAUUCACUGGGUUUAAAGGGUGCGUAGGUGGAUUGGUAAGUCCGUGGUGAAAUCCCCGAGCUUAACUCGGGAACUGCCGUGGAUACUAUCAAUCUUGAAUACUGUGGAGGUAAGCGGAAUAUGUCAUGUAGCGGUGAAAUGCUUAGAUAUGACAUAGAACACCGAUAGCGAAGGCAGCUUACUACACAGUCAUUGACACUGAGGCACGAAAGCGUGGGGAGCAAAC
RNAcentral lists this ribosomal RNA (421 nucleotides) under uncultured bacterium. RNAcentral describes it as "bacterial SSU rRNA". It matches the Rfam family "Bacterial small subunit ribosomal RNA", at positions 355 to 773 of the family's 1533-position model. The record is from RNAcentral.